Long non-coding RNA from Quercus robur (English oak), 505 nucleotides. RefSeq lists it as uncharacterized. The transcript has 2 exons. Lineage: Eukaryota; Viridiplantae; Streptophyta; Magnoliopsida; Fagales; Fagaceae. The record is from RefSeq and is a predicted model, not a curated record.
CAAUAUUGAUGUUGAUACUUUGGCAAAACUGUUGGCAGUAUGUAGUUCUAUUUUUUGUAUUUUGUUUUGGGAAAACUAUUUAUCGGAUCAGGGGAACAGGAGAUGGACCUUUGUGUGAUACAGGAAGGUAGCAAUGUUAAUAAUGGGCCCUUUUCUUUGACAGGAGAGGAGACACCAAAAGAUGUGAGAACUUCAACAGUGGUUUACGGAACACAUAGAGAGAGAGAGAGAGGGAGGGUUAAUGGAGUGGGAGGAAGACUCUGAUUCUUAGCUUAGGUGGUGUAUGUGGUCCCGAAUUGGAGCAGCGUCCAAGGAUGAUGGAUACAUGAUUUCCAAUUAGCUUCUUAGAGCAACCACAUCAGCUCGUUUAAAUUUUCUGUCUAUUUUACAUGAAAAAACUUAUUAUUUUUAUUUUACACAUCCACUUUUACAAAACAUCCAUAUCAGUUCAUCUAUUCUACAAGAUAUUUUAAUAAAAUAUUCAUUUUUCUCAAUUUUUUGAUUA